CGUUUCAACCAACUCAGCGGCCAAUGAAGAACGGUUUUCUUGUUCCUGAGUUCACCUGUAUUAAUGUGCACACACACAUACACACACACACACACACACACACACACUGGCAGUUUCCAUGAUAACAAGGAUCUUGGCGUGGGAGCAACAACAAACCUGCAGUCUGUAGAAACAACUCUGAAAACAGCCUAUCUGAAUCAUUUGAAGAUGAUGCGAUUGCUGUUCCUGUGUCUGCUGCUGCUGCUGCCAGCUGCUGCGGCUGUUUCAGAAGAUGUGGAGGGAUCAGCUACUGGCGAUGUCACUAAUGAUGACGAGGACUAUGGCAGGAAUGGCGAAAUUGGUGGGCUUCCUCCCACCUCAACUGCAGAUAAGGCCACAGGCGUCGGUGAAAACCAGUUAAUGCUGACUGUCAUCAUUGCAGCCGUGGCAGUUGUGGCUCUUUCCAUCGCAGCAAUAGUCACCAUAUUCCUAGUAAGACGCAAAAUGCACAAUCGGCAGCAAGGGAUCUACUCGGUGCCUACAGAACAGGACCAGAAAGGGGCCGUCUAA
RNAcentral lists this long non-coding RNA (549 nucleotides) under Salarias fasciatus (jewelled blenny). RNAcentral describes it as "lncRNA (ENSSFAG00005010632.1)". Lineage: Eukaryota; Metazoa; Chordata; Actinopteri; Blenniiformes; Blenniidae. The record is from RNAcentral.